This 1307-nucleotide ribosomal RNA is filed under the name uncultured Butyricicoccus sp. Its description in RNAcentral is "bacterial LSU rRNA". It matches the Rfam family "Bacterial large subunit ribosomal RNA", at positions 1603 to 2925 of the family's 2925-position model. Lineage: Bacteria; Bacillati; Bacillota; Clostridia; Eubacteriales; Butyricicoccaceae. The record is from RNAcentral.
GAGAGACGAGAAAAGCUCUAGUGUAUACUAAGGUGCCCGUACCGCAAACCGACACAGGUAGAUGGGAUGAGUAUUCUAAGGCCAACGGGAGAAGGGUUGUUAAGGAACUCGGCAAAUUGGCCCCGUAACUUCGGGAUAAGGGGCGCCUGCGAGAGCAGGCCGCAGUGAAAAGGCCCAAGCGACUGUUUAGCAAAAACACAGCUCUCUGCUAAAUCGAAAGAUGACGUAUAGGGGGUGACGCCUGCCCGGUGCUGGAAGGUUAAGGGGAGUGCUUAGCGCAAGCGAAGGUGCGAACUUAAGCCCCAGUAAACGGCGGCCGUAACUAUAACGGUCCUAAGGUAGCGAAAUUCCUUGUCAGGUAAGUUCUGACCCGCACGAAUGGCGUAACGAUUUGGGCACUGUCUCAACAGCCCGCCCGGCGAAAUUGUAGUACCGGUGAAGAUGCCGGUUUCCCGCAACUAGACGGAAAGACCCCAUGGAGCUUCACUGUAGCUUGAUAUUGGAUCUCGGUAUUCCAUGUACAGGAUAGGUGGGAGGCUAGGAAGCGAGCGCGCCAGCGUUCGUGGAGCCAACCUUGGGAUACCACUCUUGGGAUAUUGGGAUUCUAACCUGCGACCAUGAAUCUGGUCGGGGGACACUGUCAGGUGGGCAGUUUGACUGGGGCGGUCGCCUCCAAAAGAGUAACGGAGGCGCUCAAAGGUUCGUUCAGCACGGAUGGAAAUCGUGCACUGAGUGUAAACGCAUAAACGAGCCUAACUGCGAGAAUGACGGUUCGAGCAGUAACGAAAGUUGGAGUUAGUGAUCCGGCGGUAUGUGAAUGGAAAUGCCGUCGCUCAACGGAUAAAAGCUACCCUGGGGAUAACAGGCUGAUCUCCCCCAAGAGUCCACAUCGACGGGGAGGUUUGGCACCUCGAUGUCGGCUCAUCGCAUCCUGGGGCUGAAUUCGGUCCCAAGGGUUUGGCUGUUCGCCAAUUAAAGCGGUACGCGAGCUGGGUUCAGAACGUCGUGAGACAGUUCGGUCCCUAUCUGUUGCGGGCGCAGGAAUAUUGAGAGGAGCUGUCCUUAGUACGAGAGGACCGGGAUGGACGUACCGCUGGUGCACCAGUUGUUCUGCCAAGGGCAUAGCUGGGUAGCUAAGUACGGACGAGAUAAACGCUGAAGGCAUCUAAGCGUGAAACUCCCCUCGAGAUAAGUGUUCCCAUCCUUCGGGAGUAAGGCCCCUUGUAGACUACAAGGUUGAUAGGUCAGGAGUGGAAGUGCAGUAAUGUAUGGAGCGGACUGAUACUAAUAGGCCGAGGGCUUGACCU